CCUACGGGAGGCUGCAGUGGGGAAUAUUGGACAAUGGGCGCAAGCCUGAUCCAGCCAUACCGCGUGGGUGAAGAAGGCCUUCGGGUUGUAAAGCCCUUUUGUUGGGAAAGAAAUCCAGCUGGCUAAUACCCGGUUGGGAUGACGGUACCCAAAGAAUAAGCACCGGCUAACUUCGUGCCAGCAGCCGCGGUAAUACGAAGGGUGCAAGCGUUACUCGGAAUUACUGGGCGUAAAGCGUGCGUAGGUGGUCGUUUAAGUCCGUUGUGAAAGCCCUGGGCUCAACCUGGGAACUGCAGUGGAUACUGGGCGACUAGAGUGUGGUAGAGGGUAGCGGAAUUCCUGGUGUAGCAGUGAAAUGCGUAGAGAUCAGGAGGAACAUCCAUGGCGAAGGCAGCUACCUGGACCAACACUGACACUGAGGCACGAAAGCGUGGGGAGCAAACAGGAUUAGAUACCCGUGUAGUC
Molecule: ribosomal RNA, 465 nt
Filed under: uncultured Stenotrophomonas sp.
Lineage: Bacteria; Pseudomonadati; Pseudomonadota; Gammaproteobacteria; Lysobacterales; Lysobacteraceae
Description: bacterial SSU rRNA
Rfam family: Bacterial small subunit ribosomal RNA
Source: RNAcentral